AAAAUCACAAACCUCUUCAACUCCUCCCUUCCCAAUUUCUUUUAGGCGGGUUUACUCCCAGCAUCGCCGUCCAAUCCCAAACCUCUCCAUCCUUCUAAAACAGAAACCUCUCCACUUCCAAACAGCACAAAACUGUUUCCUCCCUCGUCGGUUUCCUUCACUCUGCUUUCGAACUAGUGCCAUCGUUCAAUUUCAAUGCUGCUGUCCGGUCUCUCCGUCCAAUUCUAGGUCGUCCAACACUGUCCAUACUUAUGUUGUGUCGUUUCCGAUAUGUGCAAGCAUCACCGUCUAGACCCGCU
RNAcentral lists this long non-coding RNA (299 nucleotides) under Lupinus angustifolius (narrow-leaved blue lupine). Its description in RNAcentral is "long non-coding RNA (LANG_LNC001275)". Lineage: Eukaryota; Viridiplantae; Streptophyta; Magnoliopsida; Fabales; Fabaceae. The record is from RNAcentral.